CCUACGGGUGGCAGCAGUGAGGAAUAUUGGUCAAUGGGCUUACGCCUGAACCAGCCAAGUCGCGUGCGGGAAGACUGCCCUAUGGGUUGUAAACCUCUUUUGUCAGAGAGCAACGCCGGCUACGUGUAGCCGCACUGAGAGUAACUGAAGAAAAAGCAUCGGCAAAAUCCGUCCCAGCAGCGCCGGUAAUACGGAGGAUGCGACGGUUAUCCGGUUUUAUGGGGUUAAAGGGGUGCGUAGGCGGAAUGCAAAGUCACGGGUAAAUACCGGGGCCCCAACCUCGCUCCGCCGGUGAAACUGGUGAUCUUGAGUGGGCGAGAGGUAUGCGGAAUGCGUGGUGUAGCGGUGAAAUGCAGAGAGAUCACGCAGAACUCCGAUUGCGAAGGCAGCAUACCGGCGUCCAACUGACGCUGAAGCACGAAAGCGUGGGUAGCGAACAGGAUUAGAUACCCGUGUAGUC
This 460-nucleotide ribosomal RNA is filed under the name uncultured bacterium. RNAcentral describes it as "partial 16S ribosomal RNA". It matches the Rfam family "Bacterial small subunit ribosomal RNA", at positions 338 to 795 of the family's 1533-position model. The record is from RNAcentral.